GGGGAUGUAGCUUACUAGGUAGAGUGCUUGCCUAGCAUGCAUGAAGUCUAGGGUUCCAUCCCCC
RNAcentral lists this transfer RNA (64 nucleotides) under Neotoma lepida (desert woodrat). It matches the Rfam family "tRNA". Rfam says of the family: Transfer RNA (tRNA) molecules are approximately 80 nucleotides in length. Lineage: Eukaryota; Metazoa; Chordata; Mammalia; Rodentia; Cricetidae. The record is from Rfam by way of RNAcentral.